UUUCCGUAGGUGAACCUGCGGAAGGAUCAUUAUAAAUGAAAAACGAAUAACUUCAGGGAAGAAGGGAAUCUGCACGGUGACCUCCCCUGUCGGGCCACCCAAUACCUUCAAAAUGCCGCCGUCCUAGCGGUGGCAGACGAAAAAAAAACAAGAAAAACAAAAUAGAAACAGGCACGGUGGCCCGUUUACCUUCACACAACCCUCCGAGUACCGCUUCCAUGUUGCUUCCCCGCAAAUCCACCUCUUUGGUGAGCGCGGGGGAGGUCCGCAUCAAAUUCACCUGAAUGUCACAGCAGUCAGACAGCCAUUCAUGGAAACAAUAAAACUUUCAACAACGGAUCUCUUGGUUCCC
This 352-nucleotide unclassified non-coding RNA is filed under the name plant metagenome. RNAcentral's name for it is "partial contains small subunit ribosomal RNA, internal transcribed spacer 1, and 5.8S ribosomal RNA". The record is from RNAcentral.